RNAcentral lists this ribosomal RNA (253 nucleotides) under uncultured bacterium. RNAcentral's name for it is "partial 16S ribosomal RNA". It matches the Rfam family "Bacterial small subunit ribosomal RNA", at positions 524 to 776 of the family's 1533-position model. The record is from RNAcentral.
UACGAAGGGUGCAAACGUUGCUCGGAAUCAUUGGGCGUAAAGCGCACGUAGGCGGCUUUCUAAGUCGGAUGUGAAGUCCCUCGGCUCAACCGAGGACGUGCAUCCGAAACUGGAAAGCUCGAGUAUGGAAGAGGGUCGCGGAAUUCUCGGUGUAGAGGUGAAAUUCGUAGAUAUCGGGAGGAACACCAGUGGCGAAGGCGGCGACCUGGGCCAAUACUGACGCUGAGGUGCGAAAGCGUGGGGAGCAAACAGG